Molecule: small nuclear RNA, 356 nt
Filed under: Erinaceus europaeus (western European hedgehog)
Lineage: Eukaryota; Metazoa; Chordata; Mammalia; Eulipotyphla; Erinaceidae
Description: 7SK RNA
Rfam family: 7SK RNA
About the family: 7SK was discovered as an abundant small nuclear RNA in the mid-70s but a possible function has only recently been suggested. Two independent studies have found that 7SK RNA binds the CDK9/cyclin T complex (known as elongation factor P-TEFb).
Source: Rfam by way of RNAcentral
GGAUGUGAGGGCCAUCUGGCUGCAACAUCUGUCACCCAUUGAUUGUGGGGGUUGAUUCGGCUGAUCUGGCUGGCUAGUCGGGUGUCCCCUUCCUCCCUCACCGCUCCAUGUGCGUCCCUCCAGAAGCUGCGUGCUCGGUCAAAGAGGACGGCCUUUCCUGAAUAGAGACGGACUGGUCUUCGGUUGAGGGCAUACGAGUAGCUGCGCUCCCCCGCUAGAACCCCCAAACAAGCUCUCUUUUUCUCUAUCUCUCUAUCUAAAAAAAAAAGUAGUCCACCAGAAAUGGUGGAAUUGUGCAAUUAUAAAAUCCCAGCAAAAAUUCUAAUGGCAAAUAAAAUGAGUACAUAUGCCAAUGA